Ailuropoda melanoleuca (giant panda) is the source of this 266-nucleotide long non-coding RNA. RefSeq lists it as uncharacterized. The record is from RefSeq and is a predicted model, not a curated record. NCBI's taxonomy places the organism in Eukaryota, Metazoa, Chordata, Mammalia, Carnivora, Ursidae. The transcript is spliced from 3 exons.
CGCUGUGAGGCGUGGGCUCCGGAUCAACUAAAUCAAAAUCGCCGGAAGUGGGCCCGGGUCGCCAGGAAUUUGUCAAGCUCGCCAGGGGGUUCAAAUGCGCAGCACCCUCGAGAGCCACAGCCCUGGUUGGUCGGGUUCCGGAACAGAUCCAUCCAUGUUCCUGGCACACAUCUGACUAUGAUGGAAUCUAUUUCAUCCGUUUGCUGGUCUUAAGAUUUAUAGGAUCCACCGAGUGCUCCCAACAAUGAAUAAAAAUAGAUCCCCAC